AUGGACUGGACCGGGAGGAUCCUCCUCUUGGUGGCAGCAGCCACAGGGAAGAGAAUCCUAAGUCCAAUCGGUGCAGUCUGGGGCUGAGGUGAGGAAACCUGGGUCCUCAGUGAAGGUGAUCCCAGAUACACCUUCACCUUCCACUACAUACACUGGGGGCGACAGGCCCCUGGAAAAGGGCUUGAGUGGAUGGAACGUGUUGAUCCUGAAGAUGGUGAAACAAUAUAUGCACAGAAUUCCAGGGCAGAGUCACCACGACCUGGGACAUGUCUACAGACACAGCCUACAUGGAGCUGAGCAGCCUGAGAUCUGAGGACACAGCCGUAUAUUAAUGUGCAAGACA
This 343-nucleotide long non-coding RNA is filed under the name Homo sapiens (human). Its description in RNAcentral is "non-protein coding lnc-GOLGA6L6-5:1". The record is from RNAcentral. Lineage: Eukaryota; Metazoa; Chordata; Mammalia; Primates; Hominidae.